Molecule: long non-coding RNA, 477 nt
Organism: Zea mays
Lineage: Eukaryota; Viridiplantae; Streptophyta; Magnoliopsida; Poales; Poaceae
Exons: 2
Source: RefSeq, a predicted model, not a curated record
CUCUUCCACGGCGGCGACCGGCAGAGCGAGCAGUGGGGAAGGCAAACCAGCGCAGCGCCUCUCAGAAACCCAAAAGGCGAGGCAGAGCGGCGAGGAAAGGGGAGCAGAUGAGGAAGACAAGACUCCCCCAAUUAUCGACACAGCAGUACACAUAUCGGAGGUGCAUACAUAUUGUCGUGGUUUCGGAAACGAGGGACAAUAAGAUUUGUGUUCGGUGGAGGAUGCUAGCGUGGACUUACUCCGAAUGGUGAAUCGCUGUUAUUCAACGAGAGAUCUGAGACACGGGGGUUAUACUGGUUCGGUUUCGCACCCUACUCCAGUGUAGUGUUGAUCGUAGUAUUGCUUUGAGCAUGUCACAACAAGUGUGCUUGUGUGCCUAGAGGAAAGAGGGCCUACCCUUUUAUACCUCAAGGGUUGGACCUUAUAAGGGAGAUCUGUUUUUUUACAUGUUGGCUUAUAACUGGGUAUGUUAGUAUC